GGAUCCAGACUUUGAUUAUGGCUCAUGAUGAACGCUAGCUACAGGCUUAACACAUGCAAGUCGAGGGGAAACGAUAUUGGAAGCUUGCUUCCGAUAGGCGUCGACCGGCGCACGGGUGAGUAACGCGUAUCCAACCUGCCCACCACUUGGGGAUAACCUUGCGAAAGUAAGACUAAUACCCAAUGACGUCUCUAGAAGACAUCUGAAAGAGAUUAAAGAUUUAUCGGUGAUGGAUGGGGAUGCGUCUGAUUAGCUUGUUGGCGGGGUAACGGCCCACCAAGGCGACGAUCAGUAGGGGUUCUGAGAGGAAGGUCCCCCACAUUGGAACUGAGACACGGUCCAAACUCCUACGGGAGGCAGCAGUGAGGAAUAUUGGUCAAUGGGCGAGAGCCUGAACCAGCCAAGUAGCGUGCAGGAUGACGGCCCUAUGGGUUGUAAACUGCUUUUAUAAGGGAAUAAAGUGAGUCUCGUGAGACUUUUUGCAUGUACCUUAUGAAUAAGGACCGGCUAAUUCCGUGCCAGCAGCCGCGGUAAUACGGAAGGUCCGGGCGUUAUCCGGAUUUAUUGGGUUUAAAGGGAGCGUAGGCCGGAGAUUAAGCGUGUUGUGAAAUGUAGACGCUCAACGUCUGCACUGCAGCGCGAACUGGUUUCCUUGAGUACGCACAAAGUGGGCGGAAUUCGUGGUGUAGCGGUGAAAUGCUUAGAUAUCACGAAGAACUCCGAUUGCGAAGGCAGCUCACUGGAGCGCAACUGACGCUGAAGCUCGAAAGUGCGGGUAUCGAACAGGAUUAGAUACCCUGGUAGUCCGCACGGUAAACGAUGGAUGCCCGCUGUUGGUCUGAAUAGGUCAGCGGCCAAGCGAAAGCAUUAAGCAUCCCACCUGGGGAGUACGCCGGCAACGGUGCAACUCAAAGGAAUUGACGG
This 924-nucleotide ribosomal RNA is filed under the name uncultured Bacteroidota bacterium. Its description in RNAcentral is "bacterial SSU rRNA". It matches the Rfam family "Bacterial small subunit ribosomal RNA", at positions 1 to 916 of the family's 1533-position model. The record is from RNAcentral. Lineage: Bacteria; Pseudomonadati; Bacteroidota.